ACGUUGAAGCACCGGUAACCGUACGAUCACCGAAGUUAAGCAAUAUCAAGUCUGAUCCGUAGCUAAAUGGGUGACCGUUUGGGAAUACCAGGUGUUGUAAG
Molecule: non-coding RNA, 101 nt
Organism: Acanthosepion pharaonis
Lineage: Eukaryota; Metazoa; Mollusca; Cephalopoda; Sepiida; Sepiidae
Source: the annotation of a GenBank genome assembly